Molecule: ribosomal RNA, 245 nt
Filed under: uncultured Gemmata sp.
Lineage: Bacteria; Pseudomonadati; Planctomycetota; Planctomycetia; Gemmatales; Gemmataceae
Description: partial 16S ribosomal RNA
Rfam family: Bacterial small subunit ribosomal RNA
Source: RNAcentral
GACGAACCGUGCGAACGUUGUUCGGAUUCACUGGGCUUAAAGGGCGCGUAGGCGGCAGGUAAAGUCCGGGGUGAAAUCUUUCAGCUUAACUGGAAAAGUGCCCCGGAUACUGACUUGCUCGAGGGAGGCAGGGGCCGAGGGAACUUCCGGUGGAGCGGUGAAAUGCGUAGAGAUCGGAAGGAACGCCGGUGGCGAAAGCGCUCGGCUGGACCUCUUCUGACGCUGAGGCGCGAAAGCUAGGGGAG